ACAAGUGACCCCGGUCUAACCACCGGGAUGUUCAUAACCCUUUGUUGUCCGACUCUGUUGCCUCCGGGGCGACCCUGCCUUCGGGCGGGGGCUCCGGGUGGACACUUCAAACUCUUGCGUAACUUUGCAGUCUGAGUAAACUUAAUUAAUAAAUUAAAACUUUUAACAACGGAUCUCUUGGUUCUGGCAUCGAUGAAGAACGCAGCGAAAUGCGAUAAGUAAUGUGAAUUGCAGAAUUCAGUGAAUCAUCGAAUCUUUGAACGCACAUUGCGCCCCCUGGUAUUCCGGGGGGCAUGCCUGUUCGAGCGUCAUUUCACCACUCAAGCCUCGCUUGGUAUUGGGCAACGCGGUCCGCCGCGUGCCUCAAAUCGACCGGCUGGGUCUUCUGUCCCCUAAGCGUUGUGGAAACUAUUCGCUAAAGGGUGUUCGGGAGGCUACGCCGUAAAACAACCCCAUUUCUAAGGUUGACCUCGGAUCAGGUAGGGAUA
This 488-nucleotide ribosomal RNA is filed under the name Capnodiales sp. E7105c. Its description in RNAcentral is "eukaryotic LSU rRNA". The stretch from base 158 to 311 matches the Rfam family "5.8S ribosomal RNA". Lineage: Eukaryota; Fungi; Ascomycota; Dothideomycetes; Capnodiales. The record is from RNAcentral.